RNAcentral lists this ribosomal RNA (1372 nucleotides) under uncultured bacterium. Its description in RNAcentral is "bacterial SSU rRNA". It matches the Rfam family "Bacterial small subunit ribosomal RNA", at positions 28 to 1381 of the family's 1533-position model. The record is from RNAcentral.
GAUGAACGCUGGCGGCGUGCCUAAUACAUGCAAGUCGAGCGAACAGAUAAGGAGCUUGCUCCUUUGACGUUAGCGGCGGACGGGUGAGUAACACGUGGGUAACCUACCUAUAAGACUGGGAUAACUUCGGGAAACCGGAGCUAAUACCGGAUAAUAUUUCGAACCGCAUGGUUCGAUAGUGAAAGAUGGUUUUGCUAUCACUUAUAGAUGGACCCGCGCCGUAUUAGCUAGUUGGUAAGGUAACGGCUUACCAAGGCGACGAUACGUAGCCGACCUGAGAGGGUGAUCGGCCACACUGGAACUGAGACACGGUCCAGACUCCUACGGGAGGCAGCAGUAGGGAAUCUUCCGCAAUGGGCGAAAGCCUGACGGAGCAACGCCGCGUGAGUGAUGAAGGUCUUCGGAUCGUAAAACUCUGUUGUUAGGGAAGAACAUACGUGUAAGUAACUGUGCACGUCUUGACGGUACCUAAUCAGAAAGCCACGGCUAACUACGUGCCAGCAGCCGCGGUAAUACGUAGGUGGCAAGCGUUAUCCGGAAUUAUUGGGCGUAAAGCGCGCGUAGGCGGUUUUUUAAGUCUGAUGUGAAAGCCCACGGCUCAACCGUGGAGGGUCAUUGGAAACUGGAAAACUUGAGUGCAGAAGAGGAAAGUGGAAUUCCAUGUGUAGCGGUGAAAUGCGCAGAGAUAUGGAGGAACACCAGUGGCGAAGGCGACUUUCUGGUCUGUAACUGACGCUGAUGUGCGAAAGCGUGGGGAUCAAACAGGAUUAGAUACCCUGGUAGUCCACGCCGUAAACGAUGAGUGCUAAGUGUUAGGGGGUUUCCGCCCCUUAGUGCUGCAGCUAACGCAUUAAGCACUCCGCCUGGGGAGUACGACCGCAAGGUUGAAACUCAAAGGAAUUGACGGGGACCCGCACAAGCGGUGGAGCAUGUGGUUUAAUUCGAAGCAACGCGAAGAACCUUACCAAAUCUUGACAUCCUUUGACAACUCUAGAGAUAGAGCUUCCCCCUUCGGGGGACAAAGUGACAGGUGGUGCAUGGUUGUCGUCAGCUCGCGUCGUGAGAUGUUGGGUUAAGUCCCGCAACGAGCGCAACCCUUAAGCUUAGUUGCCAUCAUUAAGUUGGGCACUCUAAGUUGACUGCCGGUGACAAACCGGAGGAGGGUGGGGAUGACGUCAAAUCAUCAUGCCCCUUAUGAUUUGGGCUACACACGUGCUACAAUGGACAAUACAAAGGGCAGCGAAACCGCGAGGUCAAGCAAAUCCCAUAAAGUUGUUCUCAGUUCGGAUUGUAGUCUGCAACUCGACUACAUGAAGCUGGAAUCGCUAGUAAUCGUAGAUCAGCAUGCUACGGUGAAUACGUUCCCGGGUCU